RNAcentral lists this ribosomal RNA (1400 nucleotides) under Staphylococcus aureus. RNAcentral describes it as "bacterial SSU rRNA". It matches the Rfam family "Bacterial small subunit ribosomal RNA". Lineage: Bacteria; Bacillati; Bacillota; Bacilli; Caryophanales; Staphylococcaceae. The record is from RNAcentral.
AGCUUGCUUCUCUGAUGUUAGCGGCGGACGGGUGAGUAACACGUGGAUAACCUACCUAUAAGACUGGGAUAACUUCGGGAAACCGGAGCUAAUACCGGAUAAUAUUUUGAACCGCAUGGUUCAAAAGUGAAAGACGGUCUUGCUGUCACUUAUAGAUGGAUCCGCGCUGCAUUAGCUAGUUGGUAAGGUAACGGCUUACCAAGGCAACGAUGCAUAGCCGACCUGAGAGGGUGAUCGGCCACACUGGAACUGAGACACGGUCCAGACUCCUACGGGAGGCAGCAGUAGGGAAUCUUCCGCAAUGGGCGAAAGCCUGACGGAGCAACGCCGCGUGAGUGAUGAAGGUCUUCGGAUCGUAAAACUCUGUUAUUAGGGAAGAACAUAUGUGUAAGUAACUGUGCACAUCUUGACGGUACCUAAUCAGAAAGCCACGGCUAACUACGUGCCAGCAGCCGCGGUAAUACGUAGGUGGCAAGCGUUAUCCGGAAUUAUUGGGCGUAAAGCGCGCGUAGGCGGUUUUUUAAGUCUGAUGUGAAAGCCCACGGCUCAACCGUGGAGGGUCAUUGGAAACUGGAAAACUUGAGUGCAGAAGAGGAAAGUGGAAUUCCAUGUGUAGCGGUGAAAUGCGCAGAGAUAUGGAGGAACACCAGUGGCGAAGGCGACUUUCUGGUCUGUAACUGACGCUGAUGUGCGAAAGCGUGGGGAUCAAACAGGAUUAGAUACCCUGGUAGUCCACGCCGUAAACGAUGAGUGCUAAGUGUUAGGGGGUUUCCGCCCCUUAGUGCUGCAGCUAACGCAUUAAGCACUCCGCCUGGGGAGUACGACCGCAAGGUUGAAACUCAAAGGAAUUGACGGGGACCCGCACAAGCGGUGGAGCAUGUGGUUUAAUUCGAAGCAACGCGAAGAACCUUACCAAAUCUUGACAUCCUUUGACAACUCUAGAGAUAGAGCCUUCCCCUUCGGGGGACAAAGUGACAGGUGGUGCAUGGUUGUCGUCAGCUCGUGUCGUGAGAUGUUGGGUUAAGUCCCGCAACGAGCGCAACCCUUAAGCUUAGUUGCCAUCAUUAAGUUGGGCACUCUAAGUUGACUGCCGGUGACAAACCGGAGGAAGGUGGGGAUGACGUCAAAUCAUCAUGCCCCUUAUGAUUUGGGCUACACACGUGCUACAAUGGACAAUACAAAGGGCAGCGAAACCGCGAGGUCAAGCAAAUCCCAUAAAGUUGUUCUCAGUUCGGAUUGUAGUCUGCAACUCGACUACAUGAAGCUGGAAUCGCUAGUAAUCGUAGAUCAGCAUGCUACGGUGAAUACGUUCCCGGGUCUUGUACACACCGCCCGUCACACCACGAGAGUUUGUAACACCCGAAGCCGGUGGAGUAACCUUUUAGGAGCUAGCCGUCGAA